This 502-nucleotide ribosomal RNA is filed under the name uncultured bacterium. RNAcentral's name for it is "partial 16S ribosomal RNA". It matches the Rfam family "Bacterial small subunit ribosomal RNA", at positions 28 to 523 of the family's 1533-position model. The record is from RNAcentral.
GAUGGACGCUAGCGGCAGGCCUAACACAUGCAAGUCGAGGGGUAGCAGGAUUAAGCUUGCUUAAUUGCUGACGACCGGCGCACGGUGCGUAACGCGUAUGCAACCUACCUUAUACUGGGGUAUAGCCCGGAGAAAUUCGGAUUAAUCCCCCAUAGUACUAAUGAAUCGCAUGGUUUAUUAGUUAAAGCAUUGCGGUAUAAGGUGGGCAUGCGUCCUAUUAGCUAGAUGGUGAGGUAACGGCUCACCAUGGCUACGAUAGGUAGGGGGCCUGAGGGGGUGGUCCCCCACACUGGUAAUGAGACACGGACCAGAGUCCUACGGGAGGCAGCAGUGAGGAAUAUUGGUGAAUGGGCGCAAGCCUGAACCAGCCAUGCCGCGUGCAGGAAGAAUGCCCUAUGGGUUGUAAACUGCUUUUAUUUGGGAAUAAACCUCUUUACGUGUAGAGAGCUGAAGGUACCAAAUGAAUAAGCACCGGCUAACUCCGUGCCAGCCGCCGCAGUAA